Molecule: long non-coding RNA, 1089 nt
Filed under: Anas platyrhynchos platyrhynchos (common mallard)
Lineage: Eukaryota; Metazoa; Chordata; Aves; Anseriformes; Anatidae
Description: lncRNA (ENSAPLG00000028736.1)
Source: RNAcentral
AUGAUGCGAAGAAGCGUCAUGGGCGAAGGCAGAGUGCCGGCGGCACAGCAGACAGCAGUGCCCACAGCAGCUCCCGCUCACAGCCCGCAGACACCCAUAAGCGGUACGAUCGGCACCGCAGUGACACGGGGAACAGGCCGGCCCCUCAAGCACACAGCGAGAGGGGAGCUGGGCCUUCUCCUAGUCACAACGGUGGUGCAAGGCAAAGGCAGGGCCAUCAGCCAGCCAGCCGCAAGGAGCACAGGCGUGACCAUUGCGCCCAACGCGGUGUGGGACCCAGACAUGGCCAUCGAGCAGGUGGCAGCGUUGGACCCACGAAUGGAAAUGAAGCACAGAGUGGCACGGGACCUGCGCGUGGAAGCGAACGAUGCUGUGGUUUGGCACCCCGGCGGGACAGGUCUCCUGAUUAAAGGUAUCGCAUGCGGCCCGGCCGCAGCAAGGACGGGCUCACCCCUCAGCAGCUCCAAGCUGUGCGUCGUCGUUCCCCAAAACCAGACAGCAACUCAGGCUGCAGGCCUUCCGACUGCCGCACCAAUUGCAUGGGGCGAAGGCAGGAGCAUCGGCCAGGCAGCGGCACGGAGCAGAGGCGAGCCUAUCGAGCAAGCCCAGACACCUACAGGCGGUACCAUUGGCACCGCAGCGAUGCGGGGAACAGGCCGGCCCCUCAAACACGCAGCGACAGGGGGCCUGGGCCCUCCCAUAGCCACGACGGUGGCAUGGGGCAAGGGCAGGAACAUCAGCCAGAGAGCCGCGGGGAGCACAGGCGUGCCGAUCACAGGGAGCACAGUGCGGGACCCAGCCAGGGCCAUAAAACAGAAGGCAGCGUCAGGCCCAUGCAUGAAAAUGAACCCAACAGUGGUACAGGACCACCUCCACUUGAAGAGACCUGGGACUUCCGCAGCAUGUCUCUGCUCUCUGCUCUCCAAGCACACAAACAGAAGCACUACUCUUCAACUAUUAAAGCAAUUAGGAGACAUUUCUUCUCAGAAAGAGUGGUCAGGAAUUGGAACAGGUUGCCCAGGGAAAUGGUCGAGUCACCGUCCCUGGGGGUGUUCAAGGAAAGGUUGGAUGUGGUGCUUAGGGUCAUGA